Molecule: long non-coding RNA, 601 nt
Filed under: Homo sapiens (human)
Lineage: Eukaryota; Metazoa; Chordata; Mammalia; Primates; Hominidae
Description: novel transcript
Source: RNAcentral
AUACUGGAAGAGUAUUCAGCACGGACUGGAAUCCUGCAUACAUAUCUGAGCUCUGUGUUCUGUAGAGAUGGGGUUUCACCAUGUUGCCCAGGCUGGUCUCAAACUCCUGAGCUCAGGCCAUCUGCCCGCCUCGGCCUCCCAAAGUGCUAGGAUUACAGAACAGGUUUCUCUUAUUGCCUGGAUCCAAGAGCAUCUCCUGGGUUCUUCCUGUUAGAAUACUGAAUGUCCAUGGAGAGUUUAACAUAAGGAAGAAGAGGCCUGUCUCCCAGCUGAAACUGGUGCAGCAGAUCAUGCAAAGUAAAACCUCAGCAGCUGUGAUGAAGUAGAGCAGAGGGCCUGGGUGUCUGUCAGCUCCAAGCGGAAGAUUUCCCCAGCUUUCUAGGUAACUGUGCUUCCACUGAGCAAGCCAGACACAGACUUGAAUGUCAUCACAAUCUGUGCCUGUGACAUCUUUCCCCAAGAAUAGCACAAAUUGAACUUUUACAUUCUUCAUAAUAUGGAAGGAAAGGUAUUGACUGAGCCACUUCUUUAUGCCUCAAGACAUCUCAUAUGUAUUUAUAUGGAUACAUACAUGAAUGUAUAUAUUCUGUCAUAAUAACAU